GAUGAACGCUGGCGGCGUGCCUAAUACAUGCAAGUCGAGCGAACAGACGAGGAGCUUGCUCCUCUGACGUUAGCGGCGGACGGGUGAGUAACACGUGGAUAACCUACCUAUAAGACUGGGAUAACUUCGGGAAACCGGAGCUAAUACCGGAUAAUAUAUUGAACCGCAUGGUUCAAUAGUGAAAGACGGUUUUGCUGUCACUUAUAGAUGGAUCCGCGCCGCAUUAGCUAGUUGGUAAGGUAACGGCUUACCAAGGCAACGAUGCGUAGCCGACCUGAGAGGGUGAUCGGCCACACUGGAACUGAGACACGGUCCAGAAUCCUACGGGAGGCAGCAGUAGGGAAUCUUCCGCAAUGGGCGAAAGCCUGACGGAGCAACGCCGCGUGAGUGAUGAAGGUCUUCGGAUCGUAAAACUCUGUUAUUAGGGAAGAACAAAUGUGUAAGUAACUAUGCACGUAUUGACGGUACCUAAUCAGAAAGCCACGGCUAACUACGUG
Molecule: ribosomal RNA, 497 nt
Filed under: uncultured bacterium
Lineage: Bacteria
Description: partial 16S ribosomal RNA
Rfam family: Bacterial small subunit ribosomal RNA
Source: RNAcentral